Alligator mississippiensis (American alligator) is the source of this 7107-nucleotide long non-coding RNA. RefSeq lists it as uncharacterized. The record is from RefSeq and is a predicted model, not a curated record. The transcript has 3 exons. Lineage: Eukaryota; Metazoa; Chordata; Crocodylia; Alligatoridae.
CAGCCGCCGCCGCCGACAAUGCCCCGCGCACAUGUGACUCCCGCCGCGCUGACAGCUCCGCGCCCCGCCCCGCCCGCCUGCCCGCCCCGCCCCGCCCCGCCCGCAGCACCGCCCCGCCCCGCCCCGCCCCGCAGCGCGGCACUGAACACCCCACCACCCCGCACACACACCAGGCAGUGCCCAGGUGCUCCGCAAACAGUCUCCUGGAAGAAAUACUUCCCGGAAGAAAGCAGAGCGUUUCUCGGCGGGGCAGGGCAGGGCAGGGGGCUUCUUCCCCUUUUGUUCCCUGCAGGGUCGCAGGUGGGUGCGGAAACACAGUGUCUUGGAGAUGUCGCCGGGCCUGAGCAUCGUCCCUCGAAGCAGCACCCCGACUUUUGGGGGGGAAGGCAACGGUCUCCUCCGCACAGGGAGCUGCUUGUGUCACCUCCGGCCCUGCCGGUGAGCCGGGGCCGGGGCCUGUCGCUGCCACCGCUCCCCCAGAGGUUUGGAUGGCGGCCUUCCCCAUCGCUUCAUUUUUUCUGUCUAGGUUUGGCUACCCGGUCUGUGGGUGAAUACGAAUGAUUCAGGGGCACAUGCAGCGAGGAACAAUCGGGCAGCGUUUAGCAGCACUUCGCAGGCUGGCGCGCUCGGUGUUACUCCACGACACCGAUACGAGGGCGACAGGAACCAGCCGAAGGCCAGGCAGGCAGGAGACCGUUUCGGUCCUUUCCUCACCGUCUGCCACACGCGGCCUCACGAGCUCCUGAUCCCGCUAUGACCACACAAAAUACCCCAAACCGAUCUACCAGCUGAAGGCCAGCUUUUGUCCUCCCUUCUACCCAAGACACUGUCCAUAAGACCCUCGCCCGUCUGCUGGUAGUCUUAUUCCAGUCGUCCUGAUAAGAAAGUUAUUUGGUUUACAGUAACGGGAGGUCCUCAAGAUGUAUCAUCCACAUCCGUUCCCUUCCCGGUCUGCUUGGCCCCCCCAUGCACUUGUAGCCAGCAAAUGUCCCUUGGGGCUGCACCUGGGCCGUAAAUGCCCUCGCGCUCCCCCCGGAGGGCACCGACUUGGAGCAGGCUCAACCUCCGCUCAGCUCCUUUGCCACUGCAGGAAGCUGACGAUGAUAAAGGAGAGUGCAGGCGCAGGGAGCGAGGUGGUGCAAUCCAUGCGGACCACACAUCUAAGAGCGCUCCAGUCACGGUCAGGAUAGAAGACAAGAGGGUCCUACUGGCGAUGCUGUAUUUCCACAAUCUUCUCAGUGUUUGAGAUCAAAAAAGGAAGUUUUCACAGACAAGUGCAAUAAAGAAUGGGCUGCUGGGGUAGAAUGUGAAAUCGAUGCCCAUAAAGCUCAACAAAACCCCACUGAGAUCCUAUGUAUAUGGGUUUCCUUAACGGUAGAAAAACAGAAGCCAGAUCCUGAUGAUAUGCAGCUAUUGUGAGAAAGAAAAGACCCCCAACUCUGUAGCUUUCAAAAGGAAGGUGAUUUGCAGAAAUGGCUUCCAGGUGCACUCCACUGGAGCUAAUCAACAAUCUGGAGGUUUCCAGAGAGAGCAAAUGGUCCAAAAUUGCACAAAUCUGAGACUCAAAUAAGUGUAGCUGACUCCAUGAACAGCACAUGCUGAAUCUCUUCUCUUCAGCAGCAUCGGGUUGUCUGAUCGGAUCUUUUUUAUUCUGCACCAGAAUGUUUUGGACACCGGGGGUAUAUGAUCCGCCCGUGCCUGACAUCCAUCCAGUAACCAGACUGCAAGAUGGAAGGCAGCUGGACUCAAGGUGGACAGCAACAAGUGUAAGGACUUGGAGAACAUCCUUACUGCUAUGGGAAGACUGAAUGGCAGGCUUGAUAUGGGAGCACAAGGGCACGUAGGGGGUCUGUAGAGCCCCAGGUGAACCUUGCUGGGGUGAAGACUCCAAUUUUAAGGGCAUGGGAACCCAAUAUGUAUCAAGUACAUUUUGGACAAACACUUGGAGGAUGGCUAUUCCCCCUUCACAGUCUCUUGCUGCCUCUGUUCCUAAUUCAAAUGCUGAUCUCUCUAUCUCACCUCUACAACAGGUCCCUUUACACUCAUCUCCAACACAGAUUUUACCACCUAACAGUUCAAACCCUCCUUUGAGUUGCCUGCAUCAAUACUCAGGGCCCAGUUCUUAUGGAGGCAUCAGGAGGUACUGUGAUACAAAUAUCACAUUAUGAUAUGCCCAUUAUUCAAAUACCAGUAUUCUCUCUGUAUGAUGGAUGCCUGAACUUCUUCUUAGACCUUCUCUCAAAUCAACAUGGCAUAGAGUGGAAGAACUUUCUGUCCUUUCUAGACUCAAGAGAUUUCUCAAAUCUUCUUUCCAAUCCCAUCUGAAGAUCAGGGGUUGAAUUCCAUCAAAUCCCUAUUCCCUCCUCAUUAAGAACAUGAGAAAAGUGACCUGUUGCCUCUACAGAACAUACUAGUUGUUAUAGUCGGCAGUCACAGGUACAGUAUUCAGAUGCUAAGGCUGAGAGUCACAGGGGUAGAAUUUAUCUAGCCUGACCUCCUAUCCUGACAGCUAUCAAGACUUCUCUUUUAAAUAAAUUAAAAGUUUUCAUGUAUUUCCACACACACAGUUUUUCCAAGUGAAUCAUGGAUCAGCUUCAUUAAAAGGAGAUGCCCCUGCCCACCUCAGUGUGUCGAAACACUAGGAACUUUCAUUCUCUUUUGGAACAGUUUUCAGUGUCUCCGCAUUCACUACCAAGUACACCAGAUUGUAGCCAUGUCAUGGUAUGUGUCUGCCGCUUGAGCCCUCAUGUGUGUUAAUUCAUAGCGUAUUGGUACUUUUAUGCUAAUAAUGUUACCCAUAGGGCGAUUCUUAUGUGAUACUCCUUCUCCAUGCAGUUACCAGCCCAAAAGCACUGAUACAGUUCUGUUGUGUGCUAGCCUACUGCAAUACGACCACAACAGGAUAGUGCAGGCCACUCGUUGCCCUGUUAUGAUCCUAGUAACUUCAAUGCAGUCCAGUGACAUCAGCAAAGUUAUUCUUGUUUUUCACUGGCACUACCAAGAUCAGCAUCUCCGUCAUUCUAAAAGAUGAUAUAACGCUGAACAGUCACAAUUUUAUUUCACUUUACACAGACAAGUUUGUAGCAAGUUUGUUCACAUUGUAUGAAAAGGGAGCAAACUAGAGCUAGACUGAAAUCUCCAUUACGACAUAGCCUGUGUUUUAUAAGCGCCUGCAGUUUCCCUACAAGAGAAAACACCAAAAAAAUUUACAAGAGUAUCUAUGCCAAAACAUACCAGUUUCAUUGACACUGUUUUAAUCAUUUAAGGGCACUGCUGAGGAAAAUGUUCCAAGUCCUAUCCACAUGCUAAAAACAACCCAUCUAACCAGAGACCAGCACAAAUGGGAAAGGUCAGACCUGAACUUCCUCAAAGCUCAGGGUGCUCAGAAAAAGGGUUUUGAAUUCAGGCAUUUACUACUUUCAAGUAUUUCCAGAGAGAUGGGGCCUUCAGUGCUAAGCCAUUUGUGAAAUAGGUCUGUCAGGACCACUCGAACAGCUUCAGUUCUGAGCCUCUAAGAAUCAAAGGUCUGCCCACACCUAGGUGGCUCAUCAGGCUAGCAUGUAUAAGGCACACAUGUCCAUGGCCAACAGGAAUGCAAAACUCUAGAAUUUACAAAACACUUUUCGUAGGCAAGCCUACAAACUUCACUUCGUCAAACGACUGGAUACAAAAAAUCAUGGACUCAAUAUAGGCAUUGGAUUUAUGACACACUACAACCUCCCUGACAUCUGGCUCACCAGGUACCUGCCACACCUGACCUCUUACACUUUCCUUCCCCGCCCCCACCUUUUUCCCUUCCCCUCCCCUACUUUUCUGCCCUUUGCCUUCUUAAUUUCCAGCUAUUUCCUUUUUCACAGACAGCCUCUUUCCUACCUUGAAUUACUAGGACUAUAGAGUCUCCCUGAUUUACCUUUGGUUCACCUGCCUCUGCUUUUUCCCCCCUCCCUUCCCUGCUAUACAUUUUCCUAAUUUCUACCUAUUUACAUUCUCACUGACAUCCUGCUACACUUUUAGCUCCUGUCAUUCCUUGGAGUCUCAGAAGAGCAAAAACUCCCUAUGCCUGAAGAAGGGUGACUGCACCUGAACUCUUGCUAAGGACCUUCUUCCAGCUACUCAGCUGGUCUGAUAAAAGGUAUCACAUCUACUCAAAGAGCCUUGCCUGCCAAGCUCUAGAACUCUUGGUUCAGAGAUGAUACCUUCUAUUAGACCAACUAAGAAAUUAAGCAAUGAAGUAUGGCCAACAGCACACGAGAGUGAUCACUACCCAGUUGCCUUUGAUUCCCCAGCCCAAAAGAACAGCUACACAUUUAGAGCUGGGUGAAGCAGGGACAGCCUUUUGUAAGAGUCCAAAGUGAGGCUCAAACACACACCUCUGAAUCAGCAGCAAAACACUACAACCCACUUUCCCACUGUGUCCCUCUGUCCCAUAAAACAUCUUUUUAAGUGUUUCUUCUCAUAGGAAACCAGUGAAUUUCACCUUUGAAGAGCACUGAAUUUCCUGUGGGAGCGUUAUAUUUUUAAGGUUCUAGGACUGUAUGCUACUAUAAAUGGAUACAUGUACCAGAAAAGAUGAGUUCCCUGCACAGCAGAUCUUAUUUCAAGUCUAACUUUGAGACAUACAGGGCAACUACUGAGAUGUUGUCAAUCAGAAAACAAUGGUAUGAGUUCAGCUGGGAAGACUCACUCCGCGUAGUUCUGCACUUGGGAGGUUUCCCAUCUGUUUUAAUAACAGUGUCAUUUGGGCCACCCUAUGAAGACCUAUUAUAUAAGGACACCACCUGAACUGUGGAGAGGAGCAAGCAGGGGGCUUAAAAGCACUUGGUAAUAAAUUAUUGGCAGCUACGCUGUGGUGAUUUAUGAGAAACACGUCCCAUACCAGGAACAUACUCUGUCACAAUCUCUACUUAUUAGACUCUAAGCCACAGGUUAUACCAGUGGUGCCCGACCUCCAACCUUUGGAGGCUGCAUGAGUGGUACUGGGUCGGUCUGUGGGCCAGAUCCAGUCUCAGGGCCUAUCUGGCACACACCAGAUUGGGCGCCGGUCCCCAUGUACCGAAUUCAGCUGACUGCCUUGGCCCCAGCCCUGUGACUGCCAGCCAGAUCCAGCGCAUGGGGUUAUAUCAUCUGACCCAAAGAACCUGAGAAUUUGGUGGUGGGGGAACAGUGGGGUUGAGUACCUUUGGGUGAUACAAUUGCCUCCUUUACCCUUGAAUCAAAGCACAUAUUUUAAACUGCUUGCCGGUACCAGAAGCACGGGCUAGAAGUUUCCCAAGUAUCUUGCAGAAUCUCUAGAAUAUGGCAGAAGAGAUUUUACAGUCCCCAGGAACCAGGGGCUCCAGAGAGACAUUCUGGCGGAAUCUAGGAGACGCAUAUUAUGUUUCACGUUUAUACAUAUAAACUCCUUGAUCAGAGAUAGCAUUCAUGCAAAGCUCCCUUCCACACACGCACUCACAUAAACACUUGACAUUAUUCUUUCUCCUUAGGAAACAAACUGUGCAAAAGGUUUGCACAUUUGACUGGUCUCACUCAGGAUAUAGUCACAUAUUAAAGAUGUCUUUGACAUGCAUUUAUCAGCACGUAUCAACACGGGAAUCAGAAACAUGACUGCAACGUGUGCGAGCAUACCUGAACUAGCUUCAGUUUAGCUAGCGCAAGGAACAGCUGAGUGAGGAGGCAGCAGUCAGGCUAUCAACAUGGAUAACCAUCCAAGGAAGCACCCAGAGCCUCUGGUGGACUUGUUCAGCCUGCCCUUGCCACCCCUUUCACCUCUACUUUAUCACAUGAGCUCACCGGAUUAAUGCUAAUUCAGGCACAUCUACACAUCCUGAAAUUGCACUUCCUCCUGCAGUGUAAAUAUAGCCCUAGAUAAGUUAACCUUGUUUCCAGAACGUGGCCACUUAACUGUAGGCAGUGCUAGAGUCUGGCCAGGUCCUCACGUUCACAAAUGCUAUUCAGUCCAAAAUAAAGCCAUACUAACAACUGGCAGAAUAUUUCUACAUCUCUAUUAUGGUUUAUAUUUAUCUGAGUGUCAAGCAGGCAGUGCGCAUAUAGAAAAGGCUAAAUAAUGUGCUGCUUCUAUAAAAUUCUCUUAUGUACAAACCCAACCACACAAAAUUAUCUUGAGAUACUAGUGGAAAGAAUGACUCACAGGUCUGAGAAUAGGAUACCAGUCUUUCUUCUGAUUACCAAUCUGAAUAUGGAAGAAUUUCACAGUGAUUGGAAAUCCUUAUCACCCAACAGGUGCUUGGUGACAUGAGUGAAUAAGUUGCUUGUCCAUGUUUAGUUUCUAAUGGGCAAGUGUCAAAAAUUAUAAAACCAAAACCCCACCACGUUCCUAUCUGAAACCCUUGCUUGCAGUCUCAGAAGAGGUCAGAAGCAUAUGGGCUGGUUUAAUGACCCUCUGUUGAACUGAUACUCCCUAAGACAGGGUCUACACAAAUUGCCUAAAUUGGCAAGGAAAUUUUCACUGGCUAUCUCUCAGCAUCACCUCUGUGUGUGUUAUGGACUUCAUCAUAGAUGAAUUAGGCAAAUUUUCACCACCACUAAAUUCACUUCAAACAUUUCAGCCUGGUUCUGAAAAGCCCAAUCACAUUGACCAGGACUUUCUUACAUAAAGAAGUCCCAUUAAACUGAGUGGGGCUGCUCUCACGGACAAGCACUACUCAAUAAUGGUACAGAAUUAUGCCAAAAUAUGGCUGAAUACUUCCAAAACAUUAUUUCAGAAAACACCUAGAGCAUUUAUUAACAUGCAUAGCAACUUCUCAGAACCCCCUUUUUAAGAUGAUGUAUGCAUUAAAAUUAAACACUGACUACCAUUUUAUUAGCAGAUGCAUUUAUUUCUGUUCACUUGUAGGGUACUAAUUUCACACAUGAUUGAGUUUAAAUACUAACCUGUUUUCCAUUUCACUAUUACAAAAUGUGUGUCAAAAAUAAGAAAUCUCUGUCCUUUAUAAAAAAUAUAUUCUUUUUAGGAAAAAUAAAUAAUGUUUAUUCUACCGAUUAUGUGCAUAUUCACUACUUACAGAAAAAGAAUAAAACUUGGAAGAAAAGUAGUAGAAGCUUUCUGGAAUGAUGCUGUAUGAUGUCCUAAGAAAACUAAAAAAUAAC